RNAcentral lists this unclassified non-coding RNA (332 nucleotides) under soil metagenome. Its description in RNAcentral is "partial contains 5.8S ribosomal RNA, internal transcribed spacer 2, and large subunit ribosomal RNA". The stretch from base 1 to 120 matches the Rfam family "5.8S ribosomal RNA", at positions 35 to 154 of the family's 154-position model. The record is from RNAcentral.
GAUGAAGAACGUAGCAAAAUGCGAUAAGUAAUGUGAAUUGCAGAAUUCAGUGAAUCAUCGAAUCUUUGAACGCACAUUGCGCCCGCCAGUAUUCUGGCGGGCAUGUCUGUUCGAGCGUCAUUUCAACCCUCAAGCACAGCUUGGUGUUGGGACUCGCGUUAAUUCGCGUUCCUCAAAUUGAUUGGCGGUCACGUCGAGCUUCCAUAGCGUAGUAGUAAAACCCUCGUUACUGGUAAUCGUCGCGGCCACGCCGUUAAACCCCAACUUCUGAAUGUUGACCUCGGAUCAGGUAGGAAUACCCGCUGAACUUAAGCAUAUCAAUAAGCGGAGGA